CCACAGGCAUCUCUGCUACCACAAACAUCCGAUGUCUCAAACUAGCCUGCCAACUAUGCUCUGUUGCCGAGGCAACAGGAGGCAAGCAGGCAUGAAGAAAUCUUGUUGCCUGAGCAACAGAAUCUUAAAAAGAGGGGAGCAGAGAGAGGGAGAGGAAAAAGAAUGGGUCUUAUGCUGUGUCUAUGGCAAAGGCUAUAGAUUUAAGCCAGCAGGAAGUCUACAUGGUGAAGUUGCUCUAAUGGCUGAAGGGACCGCAUGCUGAUACACUUCUAGGUGGGAAUGGGCGUCCAUUUUCCUCGUUGCCAUUUGCACAUAUGAGAAGCUGCAAUGCUCAUUCAUCUCAGCGACGACCAUUCAGCAAUGGUAGGAUGCCUGUCUCUCCCAGCAGCCACUGGCUAGCGGGAGAUGGGUGAAUAUUUCUGCUUUAACUGUUGAACCCUUUGUGAUGUGCUCAGAAGACGUCUCCAACAAGCACAUAUGCCCACCAAGGAAUUUAGGUUAAAAGAAAAAGUGCAGCGUUUAGGGAUGGAAUUUGACUGCUAUCACCAUUUUUAUAUUGUAACUACUUACAACUUUUAAAGGACUAGGAGAGAAAGUUAAUUAGAUUUGGGGACAACUGCCCCUCCUUGGAAUGGAUGGACCUAUUCCGAGUAUUAAUACAGCAGCAAGGAGAACACAAUGUAAAUCAGACAUAAAAUUAUCACUGGCAUGGAAAUCAGCACUAGUAUAGAAGACACUUCCUGUCACAGUACUGGUAUAGGCACAAUUACGUUUAGCUCAGCUUUGCUCAUUACAUUUUUAUGUGUGCAGCAGAUCAUCAUACAUUUUUAGUUGAAUAGCAACUCUAACAGAAACAGGCUGGCAUUGCCCAAAUUAACAGUGACAAUGGGAAAGAAUGAAGAGAGUUUAUUUUAUGAAAAUUAGUACAGUUUUUAAAAUUUCUCACAAUGCUAGUUUUAUAGAGAGAGGGGAAAAAAGAAUAUAAAACAUAACACCAGCUGUCUCUCAUAGAUGCUUUACUUUAGACCCACAGAAAUGCAUUUGAGACACAGUCUCUGUACAGUUCAGGCUGGCCUUGAACUCACUACGUAGUCCAGGCUGACAUCAAGCUCUCAGCAAUCCUGCUCUCUCAUCCUUCUGAGUACUGGGACACAGGCAUGUAC
RNAcentral lists this long non-coding RNA (1163 nucleotides) under Chinchilla lanigera (long-tailed chinchilla). RNAcentral's name for it is "lncRNA (ENSCLAG00000028171.1)". Lineage: Eukaryota; Metazoa; Chordata; Mammalia; Rodentia; Chinchillidae. The record is from RNAcentral.